GUACAUAGACAGAGAGAGACAGCCGGAUAUUUCAUUCAAUGCAAAUUACAUUUAAAAAAAAUAUUUAGUACCGAAAUGCAUACAUAUAACACAUUUUUUAUUGAACAAUACUGUCAUUAUUCUUUAAUUCCCUCCUUAGAGAAAAAGGCCUGAGGAAGGAUCUAUGGUAAACCCACACCGCCAUCGGUCUCUAAAUCAUCAUCGUCAAGAUGUGACCGGUUCAGACAUUGUCUCUUCCCCGCAUGAUAUCCCGCUCCAUCCAGGUUUCGUAUGUUUUCUUUUCUAGGAUAGAUCAACCAUCUUGCCAUUAGUCCCAGGUUCUGUCUUAAUGAUAGAAGGACCCAUUGUUCACGAUGUCGUAAAAGAUUUUCCACUCGUUUCGUCAUGUCAAGGUCUUUAUGAUAAUCCCCCCGCCUGAAGCUAAAGACAAGCACAAAAUAGUUGACCUCUGUGCAGGCUUUUGAAAGUACAUAUGAACUAACUGAUUUGAACUAUUGAAUUCGGCACAACCUAAAAUUGUCACUUUGGAGUCUGGACUAUAUGCCACUGAAGAGAUUCUUAUGGCUUUCAAAUCAUCUCCCCUGUAGACUUCCUCUUCCAAUGCAUACCCCGGGAGGGUUGUCCCACUCAGGGCCUGUUCGAUCUGACAUAGAGCAAGUCUUAUCUUAAGCCAUUCUCUUAUCCGCAACGCAAGAGAAAAACUCCCUGAAAAAGGGUGCUGAGGCAGCUGUUUGUGAAAAUCUUCACCGUUGAAACGUUCGGUUGGAAAAUGUAACCCAUAUGUCCAUCACUCAUAUCAUGCACACCAUUAAAACAAUCAGAGGCAUCACAAAGAAUGGCUUCGAUGGUUUUGUCAUUGUGUUCAUGACACGAAGGACACAAUACACCGACAAUUGGUCUAGGAGCCAUGUUUUAUAUAUUUCUUCUUUAGAGUCUUCUGUGGUUUAGCUCUCGAGGUUUCUUGGCGCUCGUUGUGUUCAUAGAUCUUACUUAUACUCUGGCUGACCUACCCCAGAAAUUACUGUUUCAUAUACAAGAUCCCGAAACAGCAGAGCCAUAAAUUCACUACAACAUUGCCCUACUCUUUCAAAUGUUCAAACAUUCCACAGUUCAACAAGGUCACUACACAUCAAUCACCAUGACAGCUUUAGUUUAAACACAUGCUUCACUUCAAAGGAACAGCUGCACUAUCAGGUUACAUAAACACUCACUCGAUAGCGUGAGAACAUCCAGACAGGAUGUACAUAUAUGGGCAUAACCACGUGACGCAUAAAAUACGUCAUCAAUCACUUUUUAAUACAUGCCGAAUACUGUAUUCUCUCUCUCCCCCCCAUGGCUCUCUGAAGAACAAAAUAGCCCUGUGCCCUCUGAAGAACUGAAGCCCCUGGUCCUCUGCCCUCUGAAGAACAGGACAGCCCUGUGCCCCUCUGAAGAACAGGACAGCCAUGUGCCCCUCUGGAGUACUAAACAGCCCUGUGCACCUCUGAAGGGCUCUGACCACUACAAGGUAAUUCAGCGUUUGCUCUUAUUGCACUACCUCAAAAGUAACUUAUACAAUAUUGGUUACUGAGAUGAAAUUACUUUUCUUUUGGAGCCAGUUUCCCAGACACAGAUUGAGCCUAAUCCAGGACUGCAUUUACGUACAUUAGAAUGUUGGUGAUUAACAGGAGGAAAAAACACACAUCAUAAAACUUUCCUAGUUAAAUAAAAAAACAGGCCAGCCCUGUGCCCCUCUGAAGAACCAUUUCAUCCACUGGCACAUUGAAUGUUUCCUCUCCAAGCACUUCACAUCCUGUCCUGCCGUUAGUGGAGGAGUUGGGCUCUUCUCCAACAUCAUCCAUCCAUGAUUAUCUUUUAUCUGCACUGAAGCCUCAACACCUCAACCCUGUCCUGCACUGAAGUCAAGCCUCCAAACACCUACUCAUGCCUCAUACAAUCACUGCUGCCCUUCCCAACAGUGAGGCCAUCUUGAUCUCCAUGUCCAGCCUGAGGAAGAAAAUCACAGCCACAUUUCCAGACAAGGCCAACGGUUCGUAACAGGAAGUGGCCACUGACAAACCAUCACUGAAAGGAAGUCAAAAGGACUAAUAAUUUACACCUUUUAUAUACUUCUGGGAUCAAAUGAAUGGACAUUCUGUGCCAUCAGCAUUUUUUAUUCAAGAAUAGAAGAUCACAGCACAAGUGAAGAAUCACGAUAUUCUUGGUGGUACUCCUUGUCUUUUGUAUCUGGUCAGUAGGUGUGUUCCAUCUAUAUCCACUGUUACCCUUUUGUCUUAUGUUUCUACUAUCCCCUGUGUAUAGGACUCCAUGCAAAUUUAAACGUCAUGUACAUGCAUCUUUUUUCAAAUGUUAUUUGUUCUCAAGACACACAUUACAGAACAUUCAUGAAGAAUAACAAGUCAAUCAGCACAAUGCUAACAAUAAAUAACGUGAUACAUUCUUUUGGAUCGUUCAAACUAACAGCUGCAUGCCUCGGGAUGUCACAGAGGUAAAGGGUCAAAGAUGACGAGACAAUGUUAGUCCGUGUCAUGGUUUGACAGGAUAAAAUAAACUCUGCAUCCAGUACAGCACA
Salmo salar (Atlantic salmon) is the source of this 2572-nucleotide long non-coding RNA. RefSeq lists it as uncharacterized. NCBI's taxonomy places the organism in Eukaryota, Metazoa, Chordata, Actinopteri, Salmoniformes, Salmonidae. The record is from RefSeq and is a predicted model, not a curated record.